GGUGGUUGUGGGGGGUGGCGCAACAUAAAGGUGUUGCUCGUAUAAGUAGGAACCUCUACAUAGCUAAAUAGUCCUACCUAACAAAAGGGGGAAAGAAUCAAAACUUCAAGAAAUUUAUAGCAUUGAGUGCAUCCCGCAUCAAAUAUAAUCCCUAAGUGGAGUAUCACAUUGGCAGCUUUAAAAUAAUUCUGUUCUCCAAAAGCUACAUUAUAAGCAUAUCAAAGAAAUCUACAA
This 234-nucleotide long non-coding RNA is filed under the name Elaeis guineensis (African oil palm). Its description in RNAcentral is "long non-coding RNA (EGUI_LNC030907)". The record is from RNAcentral. Lineage: Eukaryota; Viridiplantae; Streptophyta; Magnoliopsida; Arecales; Arecaceae.